CGAUGGACAAGCAAUCAAACAUGGUUACAGCCCAAGGCAGAAUAGACCCGAACCAAAACACGGGUACUUCAAUCCAAAGCUGUAAUAUAAUAGCAAGUUCUGAUCUUGAGCCAGUGAAAGGGUCCUUCAAGUCAUAUUUGGGGCGUCCCUGGAAAGAGUAUUCAAGAACUGUUGUUAUGCAAUCACACAUUGGUGACCAUAUUGACCCAUCAGGGUGGUCAGUUUGGAACGGGGAUUUCGCAUUGAAGACACUGUACUAUGGGGAGUACGUGAACAAGGGACCUGGAGCUGGAACUAGCAAGCGAGUGAAAUGGCCUGGCUAUCAUGUCAUUAC
Molecule: long non-coding RNA, 334 nt
Filed under: Gossypium raimondii (Peruvian cotton)
Lineage: Eukaryota; Viridiplantae; Streptophyta; Magnoliopsida; Malvales; Malvaceae
Description: long non-coding RNA (GRAI_LNC008603)
Source: RNAcentral